This 450-nucleotide ribosomal RNA is filed under the name uncultured bacterium. Its description in RNAcentral is "partial 16S ribosomal RNA". It matches the Rfam family "Bacterial small subunit ribosomal RNA", at positions 354 to 796 of the family's 1533-position model. The record is from RNAcentral.
GUGGGGAAUAUUGGACAAUGGGCGAAAGCCUGAUCCAGCCAUGCCGUGUGUGUGAAGAAGGUCUUCGGAUUGUAAAGCACUUUAAGUUGGGAGGAAGGGCAGUAAGUUAAUACCUUGCUGUUUUGACGUUACCGACAGAAUAAGCACCGGCUAACUUCGUGCCAGCAGCCGCGGUAAUACGAAGGGUGCAAGCGUUAAUCGGAAUUACUGGGCGUAAAGCGCGCGUAGGUGGUUUUGUAAGUUGGAGGUGAAAUCCCCGGGCUCAACCUGGGAACUGCCUCCAAAACUGCAUGACUAGAGUACGGUAGAGGGUAGUGGAAUUUCCUGUGUAGCGGUGAAAUGCGUAGAUAUAGGAAGGAACACCAGUGGCGAAGGCGACUACCUGGACUGAUACUGACACUGAGGUGCGAAAGCGUGGGGAGCAAACAGGAUUAGAUACCCCGGUAGUCC